This 214-nucleotide ribosomal RNA is filed under the name Campeiostachys nutans. Its description in RNAcentral is "Elymus nutans partial small subunit ribosomal RNA". The stretch from base 45 to 214 matches the Rfam family "Eukaryotic small subunit ribosomal RNA", at positions 693 to 864 of the family's 1831-position model. Lineage: Eukaryota; Viridiplantae; Streptophyta; Magnoliopsida; Poales; Poaceae. The record is from RNAcentral.
GGAUCAAUAUGUUGGUCGUGCUUUGGUACGUACUAGUUUAUUGGUUUCUUCCUUCUGACGAACCAUAAUGUCAUUUAUUUGAUGUUAUGGGGAAUUAGGACUGUUACCUUGAAAAAAUUAGAGUGUUUAAAGCAAGCUUACGCUUGAAUACAUUAGCAUGGAAUAAUGAAAUAGGACAUCAGAUUCUAUUUUGUUGGUUUCUAGGAUCGAUGUA